GUUUAGAACGUCGUGAGACAGUUCGGUCCCUAUCUGCCGUGGACGUUUGAGAUUUGAGAGGGGCUGCUCCUAGUACGAGAGGACCGGAGUGGACGAACCUCUGGUGUUCCGGUUGUCACGCCAGUGGCAUUGCCGGGUAGCUAUGUUCGGAAGAGAUAACCGCUGAAAGCAUCUAAGCGGGAAACUUGCCUCAAGAUGAGAUCUCACUGGAGCCUUGAGCUCCCUGAAGGGCCGUCGAAGACUACGACGUUGAUAGGUUGGGUGUGUAAGCGCUGUGAGGCGUUGAGCUAACCAAUACUAAUUGCCCGUGAGGCUUGACCAU
This 322-nucleotide ribosomal RNA is filed under the name Pseudomonas wadenswilerensis. Its description in RNAcentral is "bacterial LSU rRNA". It matches the Rfam family "Bacterial large subunit ribosomal RNA", at positions 2609 to 2925 of the family's 2925-position model. The record is from RNAcentral. Lineage: Bacteria; Pseudomonadati; Pseudomonadota; Gammaproteobacteria; Pseudomonadales; Pseudomonadaceae.